Molecule: transfer RNA, 75 nt
Filed under: Actinomycetota bacterium
Lineage: Bacteria; Bacillati; Actinomycetota
Description: Actinobacteria bacterium (soil metagenome) tRNA-Leu
Rfam family: tRNA
About the family: Transfer RNA (tRNA) molecules are approximately 80 nucleotides in length. Their secondary structure includes four short double-helical elements and three loops (D, anti-codon, and T loops). Further hydrogen bonds mediate the characteristic L-shaped molecular structure. tRNAs have two regions of fundamental functional importance: the anti-codon, which is responsible for specific mRNA codon recognition, and the 3' end, to which the tRNAs corresponding amino acid is attached (by aminoacyl-tRNA synthetases). tRNAs cope with the degeneracy of the genetic code in two manners: having more than one tRNA (with a specific anti-codon) for a particular amino acid; and 'wobble' base-pairing, i.e. permitting non-standard base-pairing at the 3rd anti-codon position.
Source: RNAcentral
GUGCUCGUACUCCAAUGUGGCAGAGAGGCCGGCCCGAGAUGCCGGAUGUUGUGGGUUCAAGUCCCUCCGAGCACA